GGCUCGGUAGCUCAGUUGGUUAGAACUGUCGCAUGGUUUGCGAAAGUCCCGGGUUCGAAUCCCGGUCGAGCCU
This is a non-coding RNA of Lingula anatina, 73 nucleotides long. The record is from Rfam. Lineage: Eukaryota; Metazoa; Brachiopoda; Lingulata; Lingulida; Lingulidae.